CUUCAGGAAGCGUUUUGCCUACUUGGACAUAAAACGCGCCCUUAAAGGAGCGAUUUUUGUCCACAUAGGCAAAACACUUCCUCAAGG
Gossypium hirsutum (cotton) is the source of this 87-nucleotide non-coding RNA. NCBI's taxonomy places the organism in Eukaryota, Viridiplantae, Streptophyta, Magnoliopsida, Malvales, Malvaceae. The record is from Rfam.